RNAcentral lists this ribosomal RNA (253 nucleotides) under uncultured bacterium. Its description in RNAcentral is "partial 16S ribosomal RNA". It matches the Rfam family "Bacterial small subunit ribosomal RNA", at positions 524 to 776 of the family's 1533-position model. The record is from RNAcentral.
UACGUAGGGGGCAAGCGUUGUCCGGAUUUAUUGGGCGUAAAGAGCGUGUAGGCGGCCAUGCAGGUCCGUUGUGAAAACUCGAGGCUCAACCUCGAGACGUCGAUGGAAACCUCAUGGCUAGAGUCCGGAAGAGGAGAAUGGAAUUCCUGGUGUAGCGGUGAAAUGCGCAGAUAUCAGGAAGAACACCCGUGGCGAAGGCGGUUCUCUGGGACGGUACUGACGCUGAGACGCGAAAGCGUGGGGAGCGAACAGG